UCUGUUAAAAUUUUCGUUGUUGUAUUAUUAAGUUUUGUCAUAUUUAUUCAAAUGAAUUUCAAAAAUUUCUUGUUCAUAUUUUUUUUUCGUCAUGUUUACUCGCGGAAAUAUAAAAAAAAGUUGCUUGUACAGUCAUUAAUUUUAUUUUUAAAAUUAUUUUUAUUUUUGUUACAAAAGCCUGUCUGCUUCCUCUGUGUUAAAUCCACAAAUACUGUAUACUGUCGCUUGAACAUCUGUGAACUUCCAAGGCAGAUUUUGCUAGAUUAGUAAUUAUGGAAAGUCUCGCGGUUUUACGACAUGAACGGGCGAGAAAUGUGGUAACCAGAUUUUUGGAGUUUGAGUCUGAAGUCUCUCCAAGCUGGGAUGUUCGCUACAUUUGCGCAGGUGUUGUUUUCGCGGGAAUUCCCCUCGCUGCUUCACUCCCUAACCACCUAUGUUAUUUAUGGUACACACAGCGGACGAUACUUGCUGCUUGGUGGAUGAAGACAGGCAGACAAUUGGGACCUGAAAGCUUAAUUUUUUUUAUGGUCACCCGUCUCUACGGAAUUUAGAUAAUUAAACAGCAUUUUGGUAGACAGCUCAUUUUGACUGAAGUCAUCUUUUUGUUCAUAUUUUGGAAGCAAUAUUGUUUUGCGUUAAUCCAGCAAAUCAUUUGAAUUUACCCUAAUACUUCAGUGAAGAAUGUUGAAGAAACUCCAUAUUCUCCUGCAGCUAACCCUUCUCUACACAACACUGUUAUCUCUCUCUUGUUUGUGGAUUAUUCUGCGUGGAAAAUGAUCUCAGUGCAAUCGUGUACAAAUGGUGUAAUCCUAGGCACUGCCGUAUCUUCAUAUAUAAUUUAUGCAGGUACUCCAGAAAAAAGUUAGGACUGCUACAUGCUCACAUCAUCACUGAAGUCUCUCCCAUGUACCUGUUGAACGCGACCUGCGCGUUGCAUACACUCAUCGGAUUAGGGGUUAAUAUAGAGUUGGUUACUGGAAAAUUUACUCCAGUCAUUUCGACGUAAACAUAGUCAUAUGCAUACGCGACUGUUCAUGGUAUCAUUGACGGCUAAAAGGCCACCAGGUAUUUAAAGAUGGUAAACAUGUCGCGGCGUAUGCAAUCUGCGACGGUAAGCUUGCUUUCUGAUUAAAACUCUGUUAACAUUUUGUAUAAAUCCACUCUCAAUGCUUUCCGACAAAAUACGAUUUACAGCGCUUCGACGACAAAGGCUAAAUGGAAAAGGAGAUAAGACAUACCGGAGAGGAUGGAUGUGAAGGCAAGCAGGUUAUCUGCCCGGGUGUUCCUCUACAGAGUAGCUCUCCAGUGCUCGCCUUGUCACAGCCAUGCUGCACUUAAUCUAGUGCGUUUGGAUCGGCCAUUGAUUUUCCCAUGCGCUAGUAAAUGACGUCACAUUCGCCAUGUUUAUUAUGCAAUCUGGAUUUAGGACUAAUGGCUGUUGGGAAUCGAUAGUAACAACGCCCUAUCCGUUAUAUGGUCCAAAAAUUAACAAACAACAAAGCUCAAAGUAAAAGUAAAUAUACUUAGUAUGCUUCAGAAGUCACUAGCCGAUAGAAUGGAAGAAUUUUACAGGCACCAUCAAAAUGCUUACGGUCACUUUGUCAACAUAAAAAUGUUGCCUUUUCAGAGGUAUUCAUAAAGUGCCUCGUAAUUUUUAUAAUAAACGGCGAGGAAAAGGGCUGGGUUUUUGCUCCAGGGCCGUUCUCCAAGAGGCAAGCAUACCUGCUCAUCCUAAGAUAUGAAUUCUAAUGAGCCUGGCCGGGUUAGAGCUUAAUUUCAGCUCUAUCCCUCACACCCCUAUAUUUCACCCCCGAUCGCCUUCCAUGGCAUUAUAUGUCUCUUAUAUAUACAGGUGUAUGGAAUACGCACGUAACAGGAGAUAAGUCACGGAGCCGAGCCGACUGUCCACAGGUCUUGGAGGGGUUCGGCCAGUCCACGGCCCUCCUCAGACGGUACUCCCGCCAGCUGGGCUAUCCUGUUUAGCGGACACUGUCCCUGUCACACGCGCAUUACAUCAGCGCGAUUACGAGCAAUGGGCCAGCAGCGCUGUGUGUCGUUUUGACAGACAAACCUCCACUCUGCCAACUCGCCCUUCAAUUCGCUCACUACUGCUGCCUUUACACUCCGUCACUGCCAUGUCCCCAUCUGAACUGUUACCGGAUCAUUUGACAUUGCCAGUGCCGCUACACUUCGCCCCGUACUCUCCUUCCAAGCUUUACUAUGAAAUACACUGUUGUGUACAGCGUACUAAUACACUGCUGGCUCAGGGGUUGAAGUUGGCUCGCCGGAGCAGCCACGUAAUCAUCCAAGGCUUGUCGGCGGCGUGAGGCGAUUGUAUAACUGCAGCCUAAAUCAAUUCAGCGACGCUGUGAGCUGAGGGAGGGAAGUCUGGCGAGGUACUUGUGUUUUGCCGUCCCUCCGUAUCGGGCCGUGUGUCUGGGGACCUGUCUAGCUCCGCAGCUACACACACCAUUACGUCAGUCUGGCUUACCCGCCAGUCAUAUCCAGGGAACUCCUCGCACUCACUGCCAUUACUCCCCGACUCCAUGCGUCCCGUCCCUCUCCUGUCUGCCCCGACCAUUGUUUCCUUUCCGCCUCAGUAACGUUUAUGCGCACCUUUGCUCGUUGUGUUCUCAGUUCGGGAUUAAGGGUAUGAAGGUAACUGGUGGUGGCUGAUUGGCUUUGCUGUCAGACUUACCUGAGCUCCCUGGGUGACGCGACACUAGCUUACAGCCUCUGUUUUGUUCAUACCUGUAGACUCACAAAAUCGAUGAGUGUCCACAAUUGUGCGCUGUCUGGGUCAAGUGUGUUCACUAAACUAUGCGCGCUGUGCUUAGUUAGAGAUGGUGCCGCACCUUACCUGACAAACCUAACCUGACGGACUCGCCUCCCUGCGCAAGAUAAUUCACAAUUUAAUCCACCGGAAAACCAACUGGUUUUUCAGCUCCUCGGAUUCUUUACCACGGAUCAUUUAGGGCACCAGAUUACCUCGAUUCCGUGCAAUUUCAAAGAGGAGAGCUGUAUAAGAAGGAUUCAGUUACUAUAGCCACCUGUCCAGAAAAACACUUCAUGCACACGAUGAAGAGGUGUGGCAGAUGGGGAGCUCGCGCAGCUGUCGUCACCCUGACCCCUUACACGAAACUGUUCGUUAGGGACCAUUAUGGAUGUCCUGAAGGUCCCAGAAAUUUGUAUGAUACAAUUAGGCUGGAGGCUUGCGACAGGACGGAUUAUACAGACUGCCUAUUGAAGGUGAAAUGGAAGUGGUUGGCAGUCGGGUCAUCUCCACUGGGAUUAUUCAUCUUGUGAUAGUGCAGCAUGCGCUCAACUCCCUGAGAGUUUUCAUCAUAUCUCCCAGAAGAUCUGUCAAUGAGAAGAGACAGUGAUAUGUGCCAACUUUAGUCCAUGAUGAUAGUUGUUGUCCAGGUUGUCCAGUAGACAGACUGGUGAAUGAUGGAGGCAAUGUAUAUGUGAUGAACAGAGUUGCUAACUGGCCGUUUUGUGAACUGCCUUGACCACAGUAGAAGUCUAGCCUGAUCCGAGUAUGCUCUUUCUGAAGAAGGCUGUGGAUUGUUGGUGAGGGCCAUAGUGCUUCAUGUAUGAGCUACUGCAGAUCAGAGCAGCAGUCCCAGGGGCUGUGUCUUUGCCAAGUGGGUCUAGGGUGGCCAGUUUGUGAUUCAGGGCUGGGUAUCCUCUACCAGUCAGCCUGCACAGAGUGGCCAGUCUGUAAUUGUGGACUGGACUUGAGAACUUUACCACAACCUAGAUAUACAUCUGUAAGAGAAUAUAGAGGCCUGUGUGGAAAUGUGAUUCUGAUGACAGACUGAAGGGGCUAGCUUCCUCCACCAGGUGAGUGUUUCCCAGGUCCUACUGCAUGGAUGUGUUAACCUGUACUCACAACACUCAGAUUACAGUAUCGUGGUAACAUGGGUAUAGUUUGCUGAUACAUUUUAAGAUUAUACGUUUAAGCCAGGAUACUUGUAGUAGCUUGUAUUUUUCUCUCUUGCUUGCUUGCACACUUGUGGCAUUUUAUUGUUUUGUGCAUGUACUUAGUUUGAUAAAUUAAAGAUCGAACAAAUAUCCGUACGGUCUUUUGCUUUGUUCUUUUAAAAUAUUCAUCUGUAAUAUAGGGGAUAAAGAUUGACAGAAAAUUCAGUGUUGGAGAGAAGGGUUGAUUAACUGUGUGCGUUAUUAGAAGCUUUCACAUCUGGCAGAAGUACAUCCCCCUGAGGAGCCCCUGGUCAGGACACAGUCUGAGUGUCAGUAGUGCUCUCCCUCAGGUCAGCUAUUCUUGCUGGUCAGUGCUGGUCAGCCCUGCCUUGUGGUCAGUUUGGAGGUCACUCAGGGUCGGUCAUCUUCUGGCUGGCUGGCUGGCUGGCUGGCUGUCUGGGCAGGAGGUUGACACAAGGGAGAGUCCAUAAGGAGAGCUGUCUAGGGGGAGCAACAUGCAGGCAGUGCACACAACCUGGGUGACUAGGCCCACUACACUGGGAUACCACCCAGGGGCUGUAAUGCCCAGUCGGACAGGGACAAGUACUGAUAUUCUCCAACCCAGACAGGUUUGCAGCAGAUAAAUCUAUUAUUGCUGUUACGCCUUUGACACAGUUGCCAAGGAAAGAUAAGUAGAGGCGGGUCAUUGGUGUGGUCACUCAAUUAGUCCAGAAUCAGCUACGCUUGCCAAGACUCCUUCCCAUCAAUGACCAUAGCCCAGCAUCCCUGCCAUGUAGCCAAGUCAGGGGGAUAAUAUAAGAGCGUCUAUUAGGUGUGAGGCCUUGCCUUGUUGAGGCUUAUCAGAGAAAGGAGAGUUAGUACAUGCAUUAGGCUGAUGUGUCCACUACACUUCCUGUUAACUUUAUUUUUAGGCAAGUCAAAGUGAAAAAAGUACUCCAUUCUAGUCAGUGACUUCUGAUAGGUAGAGGAGAAAAGAGCGUGGCUCAUCUGUCAAGAAGACUGGCACAUGCUCUAGACAUUUCACUUCUCCUGCCCUUUGGCAACUUAAACACUUUAGAUAGGUAUAAAAACAACUAUUGCUCAACAUUCAUCAUAAUACAGAACUAUUUUUAGACAUUUGCAUAAAGCUUGUUUCAACACUGUCUACAGAGAAUGAUAUUUAUAGAAUUUCUGUUAGAUAGAAGGUAACUCUGUUGUGUGUUUUUCCUGUUUUUACUGCCUUCUUUCCUCAUUCCCAAUUUAUCACAGUAUUUGUUUUGUGUGUUAACUGAUUUCUUUUCUUUUUUUCGUUCAAGUUAACUUAGCAGGUAUGAAUAAAUUCUUCAGAGUUUUUGUGAGUGUAACAAAGUAUGUAAACAAGUUUUGUAGGAAAUUAGCAUAUAUGUAUCCUGUGUUCUGUAAAACUUCUUUGAAUUGCAGGUACAAAUGUAAGCAGGCGUGAUUAUUUAAAGCACUGAUGAGUUAUGUCUACCUUUUUGUGCAGAAAACCCGAUAAGGGGUCAUUGUGAAGACGGAGCAGUAGUAUGCUUAUUAAUCCAUAUAAUACACGAGUGUACAUCUGACAAACGACAGGUUCAUUUCAGAGUUACACCACUUAUGUAUUGUGUUAAACUAAUUGGUGGAAUACAAGGUCUCUAAUCAACAUGAGUAACCUAGACUUACUUAAUAUUCACGUAAAUGUGGAUACAUGUGGGCUGUGUUAAGUGUGACCAUGGGCUGGUGUAAGGGAGUCCAGGUGUACUGUUGGCUAUAUUCAGUCUGGUGGGGGAUGGGGGUUAGAGAGAGGAGCUGAGGGGCCCACACUAUAGUAUCUAUACCAGUCUACCGUCCAACAUGGAUAAGUCUUCAGGGGAACCCAGCCAGCCAGCCAGCCAGCCAGCCUUCUGACAAGUGUGGGAAAGUUGUGUCCUAUAUUUUUUUUCUUUUCCCAGACAUCAACAUAUAACAGGGGGUAAAUGUGAGAAGCUGCCUGAAGGGAGU
Liolophura sinensis is the source of this 5928-nucleotide long non-coding RNA. RefSeq lists it as uncharacterized. The record is from RefSeq and is a predicted model, not a curated record. The transcript has 7 exons. NCBI's taxonomy places the organism in Eukaryota, Metazoa, Mollusca, Polyplacophora, Chitonida, Chitonidae.